This 2062-nucleotide long non-coding RNA is filed under the name Physcomitrium patens. Its description in RNAcentral is "long non-coding RNA (PPAT_LNC011629)". The record is from RNAcentral. Lineage: Eukaryota; Viridiplantae; Streptophyta; Bryopsida; Funariales; Funariaceae.
AAACCAUUUUUGAUGCAUUCUUGUAGCAACAAAAUCCAAAAACUAUGCAUAUAUAUAUAUAUGUAAAAUUCUUGGAUUCUGUUAAUAGGAGAGUAUAUUUGUUUGUAUAAUAGGGUUUUUUAAUUAAAAUUAUAUAAAUUGGGUGAGUAUCAUUUGUAUAUAUAUUUUUUAAAAAUCCAUACCUCUGCUCUAAAAGCAGCUAAGGGAUUGUCAUGAAGGUCUUUUUGAGCAAGUCGUAAAUAUUCACUUUCAGGUAUUUCAGUGGCAUUGCAGCAGGAAUGAUGUUUGAUUGUAUGUGCCAUAAUUCUUCAAUGUUGUAUAACUUUAAGCCUCAAUUAUAUUAUAAAUUGUUUUAGUGCCAAGCACUGGCAUUAUAGGAGUAAUUUUUUUAUAUUACUUCUAAAAUAUAUAUAUAUAUAUAUUAACAAUUACAUUCCAUAAUUUAUUCACUUGUGUAGGUAAUUCUAACUUUUGAAGGCUCUCUCAAACACACACAACACACACAAAUAAAAGGUACUAUAUCUUGCAGUGUUUGUAAAUAAAGAAAAGACCUAACUUAAUCAACAUUUUUGGACUCUGCUCAUAAAUUACAUAUAUGAUGUUAUUUUUACAAAAAAAACUUUUGUUUUAGGGGGAAUAAACCGAUUGUUGAACAGAAUAUUCCAAUAAUGAUAGAUGAUCUUUUACAAUAAGUAUAGUUUGAAAAAAAAUAAAAAAAAUAAACUAAUCAUUUGAUAAACACAGUUAAAAUUCCUUUGUUAGGUUAAGAAUACAGAGUCUUUUUUCAGAAAAGAAAUAUAAAAAAAGUUAAAAAAUAUAACUUUUUUUUUCUGCUUACAUGAAAAGUUAUUUAUUAAUACAUUUUACUACCAUUGUUUCAAAAUUGAUUCUUUGAGAUUGAAUUCCCAUUUACACUUAUUUAUUUCUUUGUUUAUUUGAAUAAGAGUACUGUGGGUACUGCAAGAAAAGAAAAAGAGAAAAAAGAAAAAAAUCACAGUUGUUUAAUCAUUACUCUGGUUUUGUAAAAUCUUGUUUUGAGUACUAUAAUUUAUAUUUGAGGAAAAAAGAAAUCAACAAACAAAAGAAAAGAAAACAUCUUUAGAAAAUUUUGUUGGAUAUGUUGCAUAAAUAUAAAAUAAAAUAACUACAUUCUAUGUGAACAUAGUAAUUUUUGCUUAAGGUUUUUAUUCAAAAACAAUCAUAGUACAUAACUAUUAUUAAAAGACCAAUAUAUGUAGAUAUGACUUGUUUUUGAAAAAUAUGUUGGAACAUAAAUGUUUUCUUCAAAUAAUUUUACAGAAACUCCAAAAAUACUCAAAGCUACAAAUCAUUAGACAAGUGUUGUAAAUCACAACAAAUACUUUACACAAACUGAAAUUGCAAUGAUGGCAAUUUGAAGAACUACAGUUAGGUGAAUCAAUAUAUUUAUUAAUCAUAUUUUAUAGAAUAAAAUUACAUCUUAAUUUAAAUUACAAUAAAAUUCACUAAUUUUUAAAUUAAAGAACAUACAUUACAUGAGUAUUAUUUGAUUAUUAUUGUACACACACCCGUAAUGUCUACGCACAAAUCCAAGGCAUUUAACAUGAUUUGUGCACCAAAACAAGGAAGAGGGUGAAGAGGGUGAAGAGGUCCAAGACCCAUGCAAGACAAGGUGGAGUGUAUGUAUAUAGACAUUAUGGGUGUACAUAUAGCAAUUUGGGAUGUGCUUGUAGUGGAAGCCAUAUUAUUUUGGAAACUAAACAACUAUUUUGAGUAAUUUUGUAGUAUUUUAACAAAUUCAUGCAAUUUUUUUUUAUGUUAAUUGAUUAGAGUUUACAUUAAAUUUAUUUUGCAAGAUAUUCAUAAUAUUUUUUUUACAAAAUUAAAGGCUUAAAAAUAUGGUAAAAGUGUGUAGAUAUGAAAAAAAUACCACCGUUUUUUUAAUACCAAGAUAGGUAUCUUGAUAAAUUUCUAAGGUUCAAGAAAAAAUAAUCAAAAUGUCGUAUGCAUACUCUAUAGGGUGUCAUUUUUGCUAAUGUUAAUCACACAUGCAUUACUUCUAUUCUACCAAUAGAUUUCAAAC